AGAUCAAACGGCAGCGCGGGGUAACCUGGCGGCGAGUGGCGAACGGGUGAGUAAUACAUCGGAACGUGCCCUGUGAUGGGGGAUAACUACGCGAAAGCGUAGCUAAUACCGCAUACGACCUACGGGUGAAAGUGGGGGAUCGCAAGACCUCACGUCAUAGGAGCGGCCGAUGGCGGAUUAGCUAGUUGGUGAGGUAAAGGCUUACCAAGGCAACGAUCCGUAGCUGGUCUGAGAGGACGACCAGCCACACUGGGACUGAGACACGGCCCAGACUCCUACGGGAGGCAGCAGUGGGGAAUCUUGGACAAUGGGGGCAACCCUGAUCCAGCAAUGCCGCGUGUGGGAUGAAGGCCUUCGGGUUGUAAACCACUUUUGGCGGGGGCGAAAUAUCGAGUGCUAAUACCAUUCGGUGAUGACGGUACCCGCAGAAUAAGCACCGGCUAACUACGUGCCAGCAGCCGGGGUAAUACA
Molecule: ribosomal RNA, 471 nt
Filed under: uncultured Thiomonas sp.
Lineage: Bacteria; Pseudomonadati; Pseudomonadota; Betaproteobacteria; Burkholderiales
Description: bacterial SSU rRNA
Rfam family: Bacterial small subunit ribosomal RNA
Source: RNAcentral